This 253-nucleotide ribosomal RNA is filed under the name uncultured bacterium. Its description in RNAcentral is "partial 16S ribosomal RNA". It matches the Rfam family "Bacterial small subunit ribosomal RNA", at positions 524 to 776 of the family's 1533-position model. The record is from RNAcentral.
UACAGAGGAUGCAAGCGUUAUCCGGAAUGAUUGGGCGUAAAGCGUCUGUAGGUGGCUUUUUAAGUCCGCCGUCAAAUCCCAGGGCUCAACUCUGGACAGGCGGUGGAAACUACCAAGCUGGAGUACGGUAGGGGCAGAGGGAAUUUCCGGUGGAGCGGUGAAAUGCGUAGAUAUCGUCUGGAACGCCGAAGGUGAAAACAGCUCGCUGGGGCUGCGCUGACGCUGAGACACGAAAGCCAGGGGAGCGAACGGG